GUACCUGUAGCUCAGCUGGAUAGAGCAAUGGCCUUCUAAGCCAUGUGCCCGGGGUUCGAAUCCCUGCAGGUACG
Molecule: transfer RNA, 74 nt
Filed under: Candidatus Epulonipiscium sp.
Lineage: Bacteria; Bacillati; Bacillota; Clostridia; Lachnospirales; Lachnospiraceae
Description: tRNA-Arg
Rfam family: tRNA
About the family: Transfer RNA (tRNA) molecules are approximately 80 nucleotides in length. Their secondary structure includes four short double-helical elements and three loops (D, anti-codon, and T loops).
Source: RNAcentral